AUACGUAGGUGGCAAGCGUUAUCCGGAUUUAUUGGGCGUAAAGCGAGCGCAGGCGGUUUUUUAAGUCUGAUGUGAAAGCCUUCGGCUUAACCGGAGAAGUGCAUCGGAAACUGGGAGACUUGAGUGCAGAAGAGGACAGUGGAACUCCAUGUGUAGCGGUGAAAUGCGUAGAUAUAUGGAAGAACACCAGUGGCGAAGGCGGCUGCCUGGUCUGUAACUGACGCUGAGGCUCGAAAGUAUGGGUAGC
RNAcentral lists this ribosomal RNA (247 nucleotides) under uncultured bacterium. RNAcentral describes it as "partial 16S ribosomal RNA". It matches the Rfam family "Bacterial small subunit ribosomal RNA", at positions 523 to 769 of the family's 1533-position model. The record is from RNAcentral.